AUUUAACAACUAGUGUGCCUUUUGGCUGGUCCUCCAAUUCUGUUGGGAGCCCUCGUUUUGGGAUUUGUCAUGACGCACACCUUGUCAGCAAUUGCAACGAAAGAUUCUCACUGGUAUGGUUUGCAAGGUGAAGGGUUACAUAUGCCACAAACCUUUUCCGCAAUUGCAACCGAAGAUUUUUGGAUGAAUCGCAAGAUCAUCGUUGAAGGCUUUCAGUUGUCCAGGCCAGGCCAGGUGACCAAUGACGAUGAUAGAUCGGGUUCGAUUCAAGCUAUACGCUUGGUGUAUUUGGUUAUCGUGACUGGCGACUUGAGUCUAACUCAUCUCAUUUCCAAAGCGCGGUGGCUGGGUCCCAGGCAUGCUUGCCUCUUUGUUCCACGGUCCUCAUCUAAGUUUCGACGGUGAUGACAUGGACUUAGGUUCAAGGAACGUGUUCCCCUUGAGUCAUUGUGGUUGAUUGAUGGGGGCAAUAAACAGUUGCGUGUCGCUAGUCGUUCAAUUGGUCCCCUUGUUUUAGAGUGUUGGCGGGAUAAGUCGUACGAAUGUUAACAAUAGUAUGCAAUAGCUGGCCAGCGAUCCCCUACCUGAUCUCGAGGGGGAUGGAAUGACUGGGUGAUAGGCCUGUUGUUAACCUGCGGAAUUUCGUCGGACGAAAUGUCAGGCGUGUCCGUGUGGGUAUUGUGCUAAACCAGUUUAGUACUAAUGACGAAGACAUUGGGCUCUUUGAAUAACAACAGUGUCCUUGACCUCCUUGUGCCACACAAAGCUAAUAAUAUAUGCCCCCUGAAAUCGACAAGACGGCGAUGAAGAAGGAGAGCCGGCCUCCAACUCGUCAGCCGAGAAGACACUGGAUGGACCCCAAGAAGAUGUUGCUGCUAAUGUUGGAGCCAUACAGGGUGGCCGAGCCAACAUUGUACAAGGGCCACAAGGACAAGGGACACAAAGACAAGGGACACAAGGACAAGGGACACAAGGAACACAAGGACAAGGGACAUAAAAGGCGAUGUUGCAGUCUACAGCUGAGAUGAUGGCUGUCGAGAAGACCAUGAACCACUCAACCAAGAUCUACAAUUCGUGCUAUGUAGAUGUCACUCUCAAAGAUUUUGGAUGACGAAGGAAUCCAAUGCAUAUAUGUCGCUCACAGAUACGGCAGACGACUGAGAGUCGAGUGGAUUCAGUGGAUCGAAUGGUUGUGCUGAAGGAUGUCCAUGUGCAGGAGUGACGAACCACAGUUCAGCAAACGAUGCCUUGACACUGACCAAUUCAAGGAGAACCUUCGCUAAGAUCAGGAAGGGAACCUGUUUGCUAUGUGGAUGGAUUGAACACUUAAAUGUCUGUCAUUCUAUAGACUAUAAUGACAAUUUUCUGAUGGACUAUAGUGACAAUCUAACUCCAAAGGGGACUCUCUGGACUUAGGGAAAGCUACGGACAUAGAGCCCUGACAUGAUAUCCUGCAGCCACCAUGAGGACAGCCUAUCUCAUACCUUCGGAAGGAUGCCAUCACACGCAUGAUGAGCCAUCCCACUGGAGGGAGAAGGAUGUUGUUGACCCAGCACAUCCCAACCAUGCUCCCAUCGCCGUCAAGUAACAGUACGACGGUUAGAUUGUAUUUUGUCACCGUAGGCUUUAUCGUUUUAUCAAAAUAUCUGAUUGAAAGGUGAUUGAAUGAAAAUUCAAAUUUUUCUGAUGGUGAGAAGGCAAAUAUUUACCUAUGACAAGCAUAGAUUAUUUUAAUCUGUGUUUGGUUAUGAUCAUGACUUGUGCCAUGGUUCAAAAUCUUACACUUUUCAAAGAAGGAAUUGAAAUUAUGGGGGGUUGGGU
Molecule: RNA transcript, 1821 nt
Organism: Lineus longissimus
Lineage: Eukaryota; Metazoa; Nemertea; Pilidiophora; Heteronemertea; Lineidae
Exons: 8
Source: RefSeq, a predicted model, not a curated record